RNAcentral lists this ribosomal RNA (253 nucleotides) under uncultured bacterium. Its description in RNAcentral is "partial 16S ribosomal RNA". It matches the Rfam family "Bacterial small subunit ribosomal RNA", at positions 524 to 776 of the family's 1533-position model. The record is from RNAcentral.
UACGUAGGUGGCAAGCGUUGUCCGGAUUUACUGGGCGUAAAGAGCGCGCAGGCGGUCGUGCAAGUCGCGUGUGAAAGCCCCCGGCUCAACUGGGGAGGGUCACGCGAUACUGCUCGACUCGAAGGCAGGAGAGGGUAGUGGAAUUCCCGGUGUAGUGGUGAAAUGCGUAGAUAUCGGGAGGAACACCAGUGGCGAAGGCGACUUCCUGGCCUGUUCUUGACGCUGAGGCGCGAAAGCUAGGGUAGCAAACGGG